Molecule: ribosomal RNA, 497 nt
Filed under: uncultured bacterium
Lineage: Bacteria
Description: partial 16S ribosomal RNA
Rfam family: Bacterial small subunit ribosomal RNA
Source: RNAcentral
GAUGAACGCUGGCGGCGUGCCUAAUACAUGCAAGUCGAGCGAACAGACGAGGAGCUUGCUCCUCUGACGUUAGCGGCGGACGGGUGAGUAACACGUGGAUAACCUACCUAUAAGACUGGGAUAGCUUCGGGAAACCGGAGCUAAUACCGGAUAAUAUAUUGAACCGCAUGGUUCAAUAGUGAAAGACGGUUUUGCUGUCACUUAUAGAUGGAUCCGCGCCGCAUUAGCUAGUUGGUAAGGUAACGGCUUACCAAGGCAACGAUGCGUAGCCGACCUGAGAGGGUGAUCGGCCACACUGGAACUGAGACACGGUCCAGACUCCUACGGGAGGCAGCAGUAGGGAAUCUUCCGCAAUGGGCGAAAGCCUGACGGAGCAACGCCGCGUGAAUGAUGAAGGUCUUCGGAUCGUAAAACUCUGUUAUUAGGGAAGAACAAAUGUGUAAGUAACUAUGCACGUCUUGACGGUACCUAAUCAGAAAGCCACGGCUAACUACGUG